RNAcentral lists this ribosomal RNA (213 nucleotides) under Chattonella subsalsa. RNAcentral's name for it is "partial Eukaryotic large subunit ribosomal RNA". It matches the Rfam family "Eukaryotic large subunit ribosomal RNA", at positions 1689 to 1903 of the family's 3401-position model. Lineage: Eukaryota; Raphidophyceae; Chattonellales; Chattonellaceae. The record is from RNAcentral.
GUUCUCUUUUCUUCUUGACGGCCUAUCACCCUGAAAUCGGUUUGUCCGGAGCUAGGGUUCAAUGGCUGGAAGAGCGCUGCACUUUUGCGGCGUUUGGUGCGCUCCCGACGAGCCUUGAAAAUCCGCUUGAAGAAAUAGUUUUUACGCCAGGUCGUACUCAUAACCGCAGCAGGUCUCCAAGGUGAACAGCCUCUAGUUGAUAGAACAAUGUAG